Molecule: ribosomal RNA, 778 nt
Filed under: Typhina coronata
Lineage: Eukaryota; Metazoa; Mollusca; Gastropoda; Neogastropoda; Muricidae
Description: partial 16S ribosomal RNA
Rfam family: Bacterial large subunit ribosomal RNA (bases 1-581)
Source: RNAcentral
GGCUCCUUGAACUUUAAAAAUAGGGAGUCGGACCUGCCCGGUGAAUUUUUUAACGGCCGCGGUACUCUGACCGUGCAAAGGUAGCAUAAUCAUUUGCCUUAUAAUUGAAGGCUUGUAUGAAUGGUUUGACAAGAAUGAAGCUGUCUCUUUAUAAUUGCUUAGAAUUUUAUUUAUAGGUGAAGAAGCCUAUAUUGCAGUGAUAGACAAGAAGACCCUAUCGAGCUUAAAAGAAAUUAGUAAAAUCAAAGUUAAUAUUAAUUAGAAAAUUAGUUACUAAAAAUUUUGGUUGGGGCGACAGAGGAACAAACGAAGCUUCCUUUUAAUAAUAAGUAACAAACAAGUAAUGAUCCAAAAAUUUUGAUUAAAGAAAUUAGUUACCGUAGGGAUAACAGCAUUAUCUUUUUUGAGAGUUCUAAUCGAAAAAAAGGUUUGUGACCUCGAUGUUGGACCAGAAUAUCCUAAAGAUGCAGCCGUCUUUAAGGGUUGGUCUGUUCGACCAUUAAAAUUCUACGUGAUCUGAGUUCAGACCGGCGUGAGCCAGGUCAGUUUCUAUCUUCACUUUUUAAAGUAAACUUAGUACGAAAGGACCAGUUUAUAACAAAUGAAUUGUUUUUAAUGACAGCGUAUAAAGAAGAAUUAAGUGGAUAAAAGUUAUAAAGUUAAAACAGAUAUCAAAUUAGCAAAGAUUAAUGCAAUUGACUUAGGAUCAAUAGACAUAGGUGAAAUCCCUUUAUUUGAUAUUAUAUUUAAAUCACUUUAAAUAAAGAUGGCAGAUAAA